This 103-nucleotide ribosomal RNA is filed under the name Escherichia coli. Lineage: Bacteria; Pseudomonadati; Pseudomonadota; Gammaproteobacteria; Enterobacterales; Enterobacteriaceae. RNAcentral also lists the same sequence under 1 other name. The record is from RNAcentral.
UGGCGGCCUUAGCGCGGUGGUCCCACCUGACCCCAUGCCGAACUCAGAAGUGAAACGCCGUAGCGCCGAUGGUAGUGUGGGGUCUCCCCAUGCGAGAGUAGGG